AAAACGGUCCUUUUCAGGACCACCUACAUAAUCAAGAAAAGCUAA
Lingula anatina is the source of this 45-nucleotide non-coding RNA. Lineage: Eukaryota; Metazoa; Brachiopoda; Lingulata; Lingulida; Lingulidae. The record is from Rfam.